UCUCGGCUUAACACCGGCAGUCCCCCUAGAGCGCCCAACCAAAUGAUGGCAACUAGGGGCGAGGGUUGCGCUCGUUGCGGGACUUAACCCAACAUCUCACGACACGAGCUGACGACAGCCAUGCACCACCUGUGAUCGUGCCCCGAAGGGAGGGUGUGUUUCCACACCUGUCACGAACAUGUCAAGCCCAGGUAAGGUUCUUCGCGUUGCGUCGAAUUAAACCACAUGCUCCGCUGCUUGUGCGGGCCCCCGUCAAUUCCUUUGAGUUUCACCCUUGCGGGCGUACUCCCCAGGUGGAUGACUUAACGCUUUCGCUUGGACGCUGACUGUGUAUCGCCAACAUCGAGUCAUCAUCGUUUACGGCGUGGACUAC
This 373-nucleotide unclassified non-coding RNA is filed under the name uncultured bacterium. RNAcentral describes it as "contains 16S-23S intergenic spacer region". The record is from RNAcentral.